This is a long non-coding RNA of Hypanus sabinus (Atlantic stingray), 464 nucleotides long. RefSeq lists it as uncharacterized. The record is from RefSeq and is a predicted model, not a curated record. NCBI's taxonomy places the organism in Eukaryota, Metazoa, Chordata, Chondrichthyes, Myliobatiformes, Dasyatidae. The transcript has 4 exons.
GGUAGAUGCAAAGGUUACCACGGGAGUGGCGGCACCUACUGCACUGUACAAAGACGCACCUUGUGUUGUAUUAUCUGGUAGCUCUGGGCUAGUUGGAAUAACCUGCUGAACGCUGGCACCUUGGACAGCAAGAGAGUUUGGACACAGCUUUCGAGUCAACCAGCUUGAAAAUGCCUUUCUCUCUCUGAGUCCAUUUGAUAUAUCGGGGGCAUGUAUUCUUGUCUUGGAGCAAAGCCAGAAGGAACUCCCAGAGACAGAGGUGGGUUCAUGGAAUGUACUACCAGGGAAGGUAGUAGAAGUAGAGACUUCAGAGGCAAUUAAGAAACUCUCAGGACUAGGUGAGUCCAUGUUAAGCAGAGCCUCGGCAGCCUCAAUUGUUUCCAUGGAUUCAUCUCCAUUCUGACAGGAAGCCUCCACUGCAGCCAAUCAGAAACACGGAAAACAUUACGGUCACAAAACCUGAC